UUUUUUUUUUCAUCCAGGCUGUGCAGUACAUUUCAAAGCCCGAUACAGCCCCACUGUUAGCGUCUGUUUUUUGGAACAAAAUGAAUGUGCGUCAGGAGGGAGGCGAUGAACGUCCUCUCUGUCCUGCCUUUCCUCCCACCGCUGCUGGCCCUGUUUAGAUUAGCCGGGACACCAGUGUCGGGGGUGACUAGAAGGGACAUCAGCUGUUCCUUCCCCUUUCCAAGACGGACGUUCCCAUCAGUUCUUUGGGGAAGGGGCUUCCUCAGUGUUGACGUGGGCAGCGGUGAUGGAUGGUGCAGGCAGGAUGGUGCAAAGCCCGAUACCGGUCCCUGGGAGCAGCAACAACAGACCUGAGCUCCGGGUUCUGCACUGAAAUAACGUGAUUGGCAUGGGCAGCAUUGCUUCAGUUCCU
Long non-coding RNA from Columba livia (rock pigeon), 412 nucleotides. RefSeq lists it as uncharacterized. The record is from RefSeq and is a predicted model, not a curated record. The transcript has 4 exons. NCBI's taxonomy places the organism in Eukaryota, Metazoa, Chordata, Aves, Columbiformes, Columbidae.